GGCCUAACACAUGCAAGUCGAGCGGUAGCACAGAGAGCUUGCUCUCGGGUGACGAGCGGCGGACGGGUGAGUAAUGUCUGGGAAACUGCCUGAUGGAGGGGGAUAACUACUGGAAACGGUAGCUAAUACCGCAUAACGUCGCAAGACCAAAGUGGGGGACCUUCGGGCCUCAUGCCAUCAGAUGUGCCCAGAUGGGAUUAGCUAGUAGGUGGGGUAAUGGCUCACCUAGGCGACGAUCCCUAGCUGGUCUGAGAGGAUGACCAGCCACACUGGAACUGAGACACGGUCCAGACUCCUACGGGAGGCAGCAGUGGGGAAUAUUGCACAAUGGGCGCAAGCCUGAUGCAGCCAUGCCGCGUGUAUGAAGAAGGCCUUCGGGUUGUAAAGUACUUUCAGCGAGGAGGAAGGCAUUAAGGUUAAUAACCUUAGUGAUUGACGUUACUCGCAGAAGAAGCACCGGCUAACUCCGUGCCAGCAGCCGCGGUAAUACGGAGGGUGCAAGCGUUAAUCGGAAUUACUGGGCGUAAAGCGCACGCAGGCGGUCUGUUAAGUCAGAUGUGAAAUCCCCGGGCUCAACCUGGGAACUGCAUUUGAAACUGGCAGGCUUGAGUCUUGUAGAGGGGGGUAGAAUUCCAGGUGUAGCGGUGAAAUGCGUAGAGAUCUGGAGGAAUACCGGUGGCGAA
This 683-nucleotide ribosomal RNA is filed under the name Klebsiella sp. SO-Y1-2. RNAcentral describes it as "bacterial SSU rRNA". It matches the Rfam family "Bacterial small subunit ribosomal RNA", at positions 45 to 719 of the family's 1533-position model. The record is from RNAcentral. Lineage: Bacteria; Pseudomonadati; Pseudomonadota; Gammaproteobacteria; Enterobacterales; Enterobacteriaceae.